CUUCGACCAAGGUUCGACUCGAGCGCCAGCGAGAGAACGUUGCCGCAGGCAACGGCCCGAAGGGCGAGAAGCGAUAGCGACGAGUUAUCCUUCCCCCUCUAUUC
Molecule: small RNA, 104 nt
Filed under: Klebsiella variicola
Lineage: Bacteria; Pseudomonadati; Pseudomonadota; Gammaproteobacteria; Enterobacterales; Enterobacteriaceae
Description: partial RtT sRNA
Rfam family: RtT RNA
About the family: This family represents a bacterial cis-regulatory element known as RtT RNA.
Source: RNAcentral